UUGGUCAAGGUAGUUGACUACUUUCUAUAUUGCUUUUUUUUGUUAGUUUAGAGAAGGGGCAAGGCAAGGCGUGUGUAAACAGGGGAAUGUUUCGACCUUUACCCUUGAUGUGUUUAUGAUGCUUUUUCUGAAUGUCAACUACCCGAGCUUUUAAGAACUCCUUUAAAUUCUCUUUGUUUGCAAAUAAAAAGUUUGGAAGUUGGAAGUAUUGGAGAGUUUUUAUCAGCUGCUUUGCUGCCUCCAGAGCCAUUAGCUGUCCAAAAUGUUGUGGAUUUUUCAAAGAUGAUUGGAGCAUUAGAUGUAAAUGAAAAUCUUACACAUCUUGGUUAGUUUAUAUUAAUAUAUUUAUAAAAGUUUAUUUCCUAAGAUUAUCUUUUCUCAUUUUUUCAAAAUAUACGUAAAUAUCUGGUAAUGCUUCCAUUGGAUCCGAAAUUAGGGAAAAUGCUAAUAAUGGGUGCUUUUUUUUUCGUUGCUUUGAUCAUAUUCUUACAAUUGUUGCUGGACUUAGUGUCAGGGAUCAUUUUCUUUUGCCUCAAGAGAACAAAGACCAAGCUAGUACAACAAAAUCAAUAUUUUCUGCAAAGGAUUACAAUGAUCAUAUGGCACUUGUGUGUGAAUAUGAAGGAUGGAAAGAAGCUGAAAGAGAAGGAUAUGCUUAUAAAUAUUGCUGGAGGAAUUUCCUUUAUGCUCAAACACUUCAAGCUAUACAUUCUUUAAGGAAUCGUUUAUCCAUAUUUUAAAAGAUGCUCAAUUACUUGAGACUAAAUCGGGGAUUAGCAACAGAUUAAGUCAUAAUCAAUCAUCGGUUAGCGCCAUUAUAUGCUCAGGCCUUUUUCCUGGCAUUGCAUCUGUAGUGCAUAGGGAGACAUCAAUGUCCUUCAAAACUAUAGAUGAUGUCCAAGUCUUACUCUAUGCAGUAAGUAUUAAAGAAAUAGCAAUGCACUUUCAUUCAUUUGUUUCAUAUUUUUUUCACAUUUCUCUAAUGAUAUUUUUCCUUGAGUCAUAGAAUGAUUGGCUCAUAUCUUGUUUUUUGAUAUUUAUACGCAGUUUUUUUCUUACGUCGGUGGUGGCGAAGUUCAAGAUUAAGGGAGACUUGUAAUCAUGUUUGGCAUUCCUUUCCAGUAAGAAACAGAGUUGUAUGAUUAUUUGUUAGUUUUAUAGGAAUGUAUAACACAUGU
Non-coding RNA from Lactuca sativa (garden lettuce), 1178 nucleotides. The record is from RefSeq and is a predicted model, not a curated record. Lineage: Eukaryota; Viridiplantae; Streptophyta; Magnoliopsida; Asterales; Asteraceae.